This is a small nucleolar RNA of Trichechus manatus latirostris (Florida manatee), 65 nucleotides long. RefSeq annotates it as small nucleolar RNA SNORD42. The record is from RefSeq and is a predicted model, not a curated record. NCBI's taxonomy places the organism in Eukaryota, Metazoa, Chordata, Mammalia, Sirenia, Trichechidae. The transcript has a single exon.
GUGCAAAUGAUGGAAAAAUCACUAGUUGGAAAAGAAUGACACAAACAAAGGAACCACUGAUGCAU